RNAcentral lists this ribosomal RNA (465 nucleotides) under uncultured bacterium. RNAcentral describes it as "bacterial SSU rRNA". It matches the Rfam family "Bacterial small subunit ribosomal RNA", at positions 917 to 1382 of the family's 1533-position model. The record is from RNAcentral.
GGGCCCGCACAAGCGGUGGAGCAUGUGGUUUAAUUCGACGCAACGCGAAGAACCUUACCCAGACUUGACAUGCAAUAGACGGGUGUGGAAACACACCUUCCCUUCGGGGCUGUUGCACAGGUGCUGCAUGGCUGUCGUCAGCUCGUGUCGUGAGAUGUUGGGUUAAGUCCCGCAACGAGCGCAACCCUUGUCCUUAGUUGCUAACGGAUGAUGCCGAGCACUCUAAGGAGACUGCCGGUGAUAAACCGGAGGAAGGUGGGGAUGACGUCAAGUCCUCAUGGCCCUUACGUCUGGGGCUACACACGUGCUACAAUGGCCGGUACAAAGGGUUCCGAUACCGCGAGGUGGAGGCAAUCCCAAAAAACCGGUCUCAGUUCGGAUUGCAGUCUGCAACUCGACUGCAUGAAGUCGGAAUCGCUAGUAAUCGCUGAUCAGCAGGCAGCGGUGAAUACGUUCCCGGGCCUU